RNAcentral lists this ribosomal RNA (245 nucleotides) under uncultured bacterium. RNAcentral describes it as "partial 16S ribosomal RNA". It matches the Rfam family "Bacterial small subunit ribosomal RNA", at positions 524 to 768 of the family's 1533-position model. The record is from RNAcentral.
UACAGAGGUAGCGAACGUUGUCCGGAUUCACUGGGCGUAAAGGGAUCGUAGGCGGUCACGUAAGUCAGUUGUGAAAUCGUUCUGCUCAACAGAACAAUUGCUUCUGAUACUGCGUGGCUUGAGUGCAGGAUGGGAAAUUGGAAUUUCCGGUGUAGCGGUGAAAUGCGUAGAUAUCGGAAAGAACACCUGUGGCGAAGGCGGAUUUCUGGCCUGCAACUGACGCUGAGGAUCGAAAGCCAGGGGAG